Molecule: long non-coding RNA, 2593 nt
Filed under: Musa acuminata (dwarf banana)
Lineage: Eukaryota; Viridiplantae; Streptophyta; Magnoliopsida; Zingiberales; Musaceae
Description: long non-coding RNA (MACU_LNC011653)
Source: RNAcentral
GUAUCCACGCACCACCGUUCAUGUUCUGCGAGUCAUUCUACUGCUAUGUCUGAACACAACAGCUGAGUAAUCGUGAGCUUCUCGGAAGGAUCUCACGCUGGCGAUGACCCUCGCGAGGCCUUCUUCCUUUUUCCUCGAAGACCUGGUGUCGAUGCCGCCCUUCUCCGAGUCAGGAUACGGGUCGGUCGAGAAGGUCUACGUGGUGUGCGCUCAUGAUGAAGGCAUCAGCGAAGAGUUUCAGCGCUGGAUGAUCAAAAAUAACCCAGUGAAAGUGGUGAAGGAGAUCGAGGAUGCUGACCAUAUGGCCAUGUUCUCAACACCGAAGCAGCUCUUCCAAUGCCUCUCUGAUGUUGUCGAUGCCAGUGCUUGAUCACGUGUUACCUACCUCUUACUUUUCUGUCUCUCCAUCACUUAACAUCUACUGUCAUCGAGACCUCCUUUUUCUUCUCCUUUACCUUUCGCAGACCAAUUGAUGGGAAUGGUCGGCCAGGAAUAAAGUUCGUUUACGUCUGCCCAUUAGUAAUGCCGCAGAUGUGUUUCAUGCGUAAUGUCGUUAUCUUAAUCUGGUCAAAUGAGGUCAAGCUACUCUAUUUAUGAUCCGCGAUGUCAUCAUGUCAUUCAUUGUGAUAUUUUCGGUACGGACCCAUUUAAUUUCGUGAGAGUUAAAAUAUAUAUUAAAUAUUUAUUUUGGGUUUGAUAUGAUUUUUGAUAUCUGGAUAAUCUAUCGAGCAUGAGAAUUAACAAAAUUAAAUCUGUGAACCUUAUCCAUUGUUAACUUUAGAGAAUUCUAACGCUCGAUUGUCUACCAAUGGAAAACCAAAAAGAAGGUUGAGUUUGUAAAAUGGGUGAAUUCCUAGAAAACCCUUAGAUUUUUUUUCAUUGAUGCAUCUUUUUAUUUUUUAUUUAUUAGUGUUUUAAUUUUUUUUAAUUCAAAAAAUAUGAUAGGCUAAAAAGAUUUCUGAUAAGAUGAAUCGAUUUAUUUAUAAUAUUUUUGUAUAGACUUAAAAAUACUAUAAUUAUCAUACAAGUUAAGUUUCUUUUGCAUAUUCUUAUUUUAAAAUCACUAAAAUAUCUAUUUCCAAUCUUAUGGAGGAUAAGUUAGUUUGUAUUAUAUUUGAAGUUUUGUUUGUUUUCUAUAUGUUUAUAGUGUUUUUUUAUAUCAGUGGCCUUCUAUAUAUUUUUUGCAUAUUCUUUUCAAACUAAUAAAAAUAUGUACUGAAGUGACACAAAGUAUUAUAUUUUAUUUUUGAGUUUUUGUUCCUCAGUUAUUUUGUUGUUAUAUACAGUUACAAUAUUUUUACUAAGGUGUCAAAAAAUAUUAUAACUCAGUUUAAAACAGUAUAACUAAAAUGGUUAGUAUCACUGACUACUCCAAUAUAAAGGGUGGGAGUAUGUCAACAGCAUUUUAAGGAUAUAAAAAAAUGAAACAAUAAGAUAAAAAAAAAAGGGCACCUCAUAACGCUCGCAAAGUUGAGAAAGCAAUCCUUAUCGAGGACGCCACUCGAAAAGCUGAGAAAGCAACAACUUGAAGCCAUUGGCCGCCAUGGUUUCUUAUCUUUUCUGCUUGCCUUCUUAUCUUUUCUGCUUGCUUCUACGUGUCAGUUCCACUAUCUUUUCCUGCCCCUCAUCCACCAUGACAACUUGUCUUAAACAUUAUUUUAGUCCCCAAUCGCUCUACCAAUAUUAUUAGUGGGUAUAUAAUGAUCAUUAGGCGGAGCAAUCUAUAAGCAUCAUUUGCCAUAGCACCUCCAAAUGAAUCAUGGAGAAGGAAUGGGCGACGGGAGCUGCAACAAGAAGCACAUAAUUCUCGUCCAUGGCGCUUGCCAUGGAGCAUGGUCUUGGCACAAGGUGACGACCCAGUUGAGGUCCGCUGGGUACCAGGUUACGGUGCCCGACCUCGCGGCCUCCGGCGUCGACGAGCGGCGGUUCCAGGACCUGCGAUCGUUCAUCCACUACUCCCAGCCGCUCCUGGACAUAUUGGCCUGCCUCCCCCCUGGUGAGAGGGUCAUUCUGGUAGGCCACAGCCUCGGAGGCCUCAACAUAGCUCUGGCUAUGGACAGGUUCCCUGAGAAGAUCGCCGCCGCCGUCUUCGUCACCGCCUUGAUGCCGGAUUCAGUCAACCCGCCCUCCUACGUCGUCGACAAGGUAUUGCUAAUCGAAUUCCGAUGCACAUGUCAGACCUGUUCUUAUAAUUUUAUUGACUGGCGUGCUUUCCUUACAGCUUAAAAACGAAAAAACCAUGUUAUUUUGGAGCGACACACAAUUUGGCUUGGUCGGGGACGAAGAUAAAGGUCCCGUUUCCCUGCUAUUCGGCCCCAAAUUCUUAUCCAAGCUUUACACGCGUAGCCCACCCGAGGUACGUAUGCAUGCACAACCAUUCAUCUUCUGCGAGUCAUGCUACUACUGUCAGGGCUGAACAACAGUUGUGAAACCAUGAAAUGGUUUUUAAGGAUCUGACGCUGGCGAGGACCCUCAUGAGGCCUUCUUCCUUCUUCCUUGAAGACCUCGGGUACAUGCCUCCCUUCUCCGAGUCGGGUUACGGAUCGGUGGAGAAGAUCUACGUGGUGUGCGCUCAGGAUGAGAUCCUCACGGA